Molecule: long non-coding RNA, 360 nt
Filed under: Capsicum annuum
Lineage: Eukaryota; Viridiplantae; Streptophyta; Magnoliopsida; Solanales; Solanaceae
Description: long non-coding RNA (CANN_LNC018740)
Source: RNAcentral
GAGCUACCAGAGUGAAGCUAUAUGAUGCUGAUCCACAUGUGCUCAAAGCCUUUGCGAACAGCGGUGUUGAAUUCAUUGUCAGCCUUGGCAAUGAAUACCUCUCCGAUAUGAAGGAUCCUGCUAAAGCUCAAGCUUGGGUUAAAACCAAUGUGCAAGCCUAUUUACCUGCGACUAAAAUCACGUGUAUAGCAGUUGGAAAUGAAGUACUUACGUCCAACGACACUUCACUAUCCGGCAAUCUCAUGCCUGCUAUGGAAAAUGUUUACGCUGCGCUAGUCAAUUGCAACUUGGACAAGCAAGUCAGUGUCACCACUGCUCAUUCUGUUGCGAUUCUAGGGACUUCCUACCCGCCUUCUGCAG